CGGUUAUGAUUCGCUGCUCUUCUGGGUUGAAGUUGCUGGAGUCUGAUUUGUACAGCGCGCUGGCCAAUGAAGAGCUCAGGACUGGAGUCUGUUUCUCUCGCAGGGCCCUUUGCAGGGAAACAAAUGUCGACAGCUACUUUUUGAUGCAAACUCUCCAGCCAAUGAGAGCGAGGCCCUGGCGGAGCGCAUUCUCAUCUCUCACAGUGCAAGCAAUGUCAGUUUAUGUUGUAACAUUAACUCGUAGCGUUAUGAUUAAAGUGGAAAGAAGAACUAUUUCUUAGUUUUUACACUCCUUUCGUUAAAAAUUGAAUUUUUUUUGUUUGCUUGAUGUAGAAUGUGCAGAUGCGGUGACCCCUGGUAAAUAAAUGCAAGUUUGUAUUCGUACCACUCCAAAAAAGUUGCAUAGGCAACAGCAGUAUUAUUUAUAUAAUCUCAGACAUAAUUACCAAUCCCAAGAGAAAACAGCAGACUUAAUCUUUAAUUAUUUCACAAAUAUAACACCGGGGAUAAAUCCGGAGAAAACAAAUGUUGAAUACGGACGCAGGCAGAGCUCUUGCAUUUGUGUUGCGUAGCUGGAGGGAUUUACGGGGACUUAAUUCCUUAAAACUGUCCUCUCGUCCACAUGACGCUCAAACUGCAAGUGCUCAAGCUGAUAUACCCAAACGUAUCAAGAGAUGAGUGCACCGCAUAGCCAUGGGGCUAGAUUAGGGCCUUUUAUAAGACAUGUAGAAUACACGUGAAACCAGUGUGGAGUGGCGCAACGAGGAGGUGAAUUUGGUACCUUGAAAAAUGUUCAAAACAACACGUUGCCAAUAUUCACUUCGAGAAAUGUCUAUCUGGAUUCUUCUGUGUGGGAGGAAAGCCGACUCUAUCAUAACAGCUUUAAGACUAUACAUUUAAGAUAUCCUGAGAAGUAGGGAACCUGACAAGCACCCGGGUGACUCGAGAAGCACGGACAAAUGAACUACGAUACACACAGAGAGAGGGAAAAAAACUUCAACUCUUCAAGACAAGAUAGAAAGCUUCAGUUGUGCACCUGCUAUUGUGGAAUGCCCUGCAGACGAUGACAGCCACCAUUAUCCUGGUCCAAAUGUUUUGCAAGCUCUGGUGGGCAAAAGCAAAGUGGACAUCAUCUGAUGUUAUCUUGUGUGAAUGUUUGGAGGAGCACAGUUGGAGAGGAUCAGUUUCUUUACAGUUUUAGAUUAGAGCGUCUUUAGUGUCUUUUCAGUUAUUUUGCACUUUGUUUGAUUGAUGAAAAACAAAACCAAAAAAAGAGGAUUUUCUUUUAUUAUUUUGUCUGACCGGUGAGUUACCUGUUUUUCUUUUAUAAUCUAUUGAGAUGUGAAGAUUACAUCAAAACUACAGCCAUGGUUGAAUGGACGUAAUUUAACAUGAUGGAUUACAAAUGAACCCGCUAUAAUAUUCCUCUAAAUGUUUCUCUGAUUUGACAUAAUUGUGACAGUGUUUAAAUGCGAUAACAGAGUCAUUUUUGAUGAGAGCUUGAACACUUGAAUGUGAAGGUAUAUUUGCACAGAGUAAUUACUAUGAAUAAAGGAGCUCGUUUGAUCUUU
Molecule: long non-coding RNA, 1571 nt
Filed under: Danio rerio (zebrafish)
Lineage: Eukaryota; Metazoa; Chordata; Actinopteri; Cypriniformes; Danionidae
Description: si:dkey-166f24.2 (ENSDARG00000097731.2)
Source: RNAcentral